This 540-nucleotide ribosomal RNA is filed under the name Staphylococcus warneri. RNAcentral's name for it is "bacterial SSU rRNA". It matches the Rfam family "Bacterial small subunit ribosomal RNA", at positions 1 to 527 of the family's 1533-position model. The record is from RNAcentral. Lineage: Bacteria; Bacillati; Bacillota; Bacilli; Caryophanales; Staphylococcaceae.
UUGAGUUUGAUCGUGGCUCAGGAUGAACGCUGGCGGCGUGCCUAAUACAUGCGAAGUCGAGCGAACAGAUAAGGAGCUUGCUCCUUUGACGUUAGCGGCGGACGGGUGAGUAACACGUGGAUAACCUACCUAUAAGACUGGGAUAACUUCGGGAAACCGGAGCUAAUACCGGAUAACAUAUUGAACCGCAUGGUUCAAUAGUGAAAGGCGGCUUUGCUGUCACUUAUAGAUGGAUCCGCGCCGUAUUAGCUAGUUGGUAAGGUAACGGCUUACCAAGGCAACGAUACGUAGCCGACCUGAGAGGGUGAUCGGCCACACUGGAACUGAGACACGGUCCAGACUCCUACGGGAGGCAGCAGUAGGGAAUCUUCCGCAAUGGGCGAAAGCCUGACGGAGCAACGCCGCGUGAGUGAUGAAGGUCUUCGGAUCGUAAAACUCUGUUAUCAGGGAAGAACAAAUGUGUAAGUAACUGUGCACCAUCUUGACGGUACCUGAUCAGAAAGCCACGGCUAACUACGUGCCAGCCGCCGCCGUAACACA